This is an RNA transcript of Triticum aestivum (bread wheat), 1429 nucleotides long. RefSeq lists it as uncharacterized. The record is from RefSeq and is a predicted model, not a curated record. Lineage: Eukaryota; Viridiplantae; Streptophyta; Magnoliopsida; Poales; Poaceae. The transcript has 5 exons.
GCGAGAAAGAGAGAGGGGGGGCAGAGACCACCCCUGUGCUGUACUCCUAUUCGCCGGAAAUCGUCUCCUCUCUUUUUCUCCGGCCGCGUCUGCAACUCCACCUCAAUGGCGACCCCCACCAACCCUCAUCUCGCGCCCCCGCCGCCGGAUCGGGAUCUCGCAAUAGUUCAAGCCAUUAAGGAUUUUUAUCGCAAUUCGGGGACAAUCGAAGAGAACAUUACAUUGCUAGGCUAUGAUGAGAAGCCUAUGGAUUUCGACAACAGUGAAAUGAAGUUCUUCAAGUGCUCGUACAAAGUUGGGCCCAUCAAAUUCAACAGGUUUAUCAAGAGGGGUGCUGCAAGUUCGAAGGAUUGGGCUUCAGACUACCAUUUUGUCAGAGCUUUGGCGCGUCCUGCUGCUAUCCAAGUUGAAAAUUACGUCAAUUCAGAGUGUGUGAUCAUCUCUGAAGUGGAUGGGUCCUUCAGCAAAUGGUUGAACAAGAGGGAACCCAUAGAACUGUUCGCUGAUGGCACCAUGCUGCCCAUCCUCAGAAAUAUGAUCAUCCAACUUGCAAGUCUGGUGGAAAGUAUCCUUGCUAAGCGCAAGUAUCCCCGAGGUACCGUUGCAAAGGAAGAAUUCUCAAUGAAAGAGCUCUACAUCAAGCUGCUUCCUGAUAAGACACCUAAGCUGCAGGUGUUGAUACUUAAGGUUGAAAACAGGAUUCCAGCUCAGGUGGUGAAGACUUGGACAACUGUAAGGAAGAUUGCUACAGAGUGCUUUGAACGCCAUAAUGUCGAUCCAAACCAGGGAAGUAGAGACUUCAUCUCUUGUAUUGGGAUUCUGACAAAAAAUGUCCAAGCUCUUUUGGAGGGCCACCCGGACCAGUGGGACAAUUCGAAGAAAGGUGGUUUCUCAUGGAAUCCUACACGUACUCCCAGCAAGUGUCUGGUAGGAUCAACAAGUCUGAAUUGAGGUGGCCUGUGGAAGAUGAUGGAAGAACUCUGUGGUUGCUGUCGCAGUUAAUUCUUCGGGGUCGAGAGAAGAAGGUGAUCUAUGACAAGGACUUUCCGAAUGACUAUGUGAAACUAUGCAGGCACAGCUACAAGCACUUCAAAAAAUUGCCAAACAAUAUUAAGCGUACCUGCAGGCUAGUCUUGGAGGGAGUACAGAUGGACUGAUACGUCAGAUUGAAGUUUGGUCGCCUCGUAUCUGGCACAUCUUAUAUGUGGCACUUCACAAGCCCGGAUCAGGAUAGGUUGACAUGUAUUUGUGCUUGUUCGGCUGUCCAAGUCCAUGUACUACUCUAGUGAGAUUUAGACGCUCUUAUAUUUCUUUCCAGAGGGAGUACUUCAAUGACAUGGCAUACAAGCGUUAAUUAAGCCUCAAGUAUGUAUAUUGUGCUGUAUUCAGAGGUGCAGCGUUGUGGAUACAAGGUUUAAAAAAACAGGGG